Molecule: long non-coding RNA, 933 nt
Filed under: Equus caballus (horse)
Lineage: Eukaryota; Metazoa; Chordata; Mammalia; Perissodactyla; Equidae
Description: lncRNA (ENSECAG00000056471.1)
Source: RNAcentral
CACAUUUUAAUUAUCUUAUUUCCUGUCAGUCAUUUAGAAUAUUCCCUCUGAAGAUCCUUGUUUUAAACAAAUACGAUAGAGGGAGAGUCCUUGGCAUUAUGAGAUUUUGAGAUGAGCUAUAGCAGCGUAAACAAGUGCGUUUCUGGGAUCAUCAGACUCCAUUAUAAUGAGAUGCUUAUUUAUCAUUUCCUCCCCUAAACUGUAAGUUCCUUGACCACAAGGAAUACAGCCUUUAAAAAAAAUCUUGUCCUCCUUUGUUCUUAGCACAAUAACUGACACCUAAUGCACACUCAACAGAGGCAGAAGAACUGAGUGGUUUGAGUGUGCGCUCUGAAGUCAGAGAUUUGGUUUCAAGUGUUGACUCUGUAAACUUGGAUAUGGACCCUUGGGCAGAAGAUGACAUUUUCACCAGUAUUAUUAGGAAGGAUGGGAACAGGGCUCGCAUCUUUAAUUCACUGAGAUCUGUGUGUGGCUGAGAACACUGACGUGCCUGCGGGCAUAUGGCUUACAAUGUGGAGAUGGAUCUUAUUGCUGCUGGAAGCAUCCCUGAAGCCUAGAGAUAUCCCUCGCUCUCCUUUGGAUGUAGAGACAAGCAGAUCUGCGGAUGCAAGAUGAAACAGAUGGUGUCGCUUCCCUGCAGACUGUAGACUCAAGUGUGUGGAGAGUGAACACCGCAUCAAGCACGACCCUUGCUGUGCUUUCGAUUCUAUUGCAGUUAAUGUGGAUUCCAGCACAGUCAGCUCGAACCUGUGUGUCAUCAUUGUGUCUGUCUGGUUUCGUGGCUGACAAAGAGCUCAUGCUGUGCCAUUUACAGGUUGCCAAGAUUAAUAUUGCUGAGGAGAGAAGAGAGACAAAACUGACCUCAACUAGGGAGGGAGUGAGGGAUGAUAUGUGGAGAAGCUGGGUGAGCAUGUGCCCUGUGAAGGCAAAAAA